GACGAACGCUGGCGGCGUGCCUAAUACAUGCAAGUCGAACGGUUUAGUUCCAAGAGGCAAGCCUCUUGGAACUAAGCAGUGGCGGACGGGUGAGUAACACGUAGGCAACCUACCUGUCAAACCGGGAUAACCUCGGGAAACCGAAGCUAAACCCGGAUAAGCUCCUUUUUCGCAUGAAGGGGGAGUGAAAAGGUGCGACCUGAUGACAGAUGGGCCUGCGGCGCAUUAGCUAGUAGGUAGGGUAACGGCCUACCUAGGCGAUGAUGCGUAGCCGACCUGAGAGGGCGUACGGCCACACUGGGACUGAGAUACGGCCCAGACUCCUACGGGAGGCAGCAGUAGGGAAUCUUCGGCAAUGGGCGAAAGCCUGACCGAGCAACGCCGCGUGAGUGAGGAAGGCCUUCGGGUUGUAAAACUCUGUUGUUUGGGAAGAAGGGAAAGGGUAGGACCCUUAGGUGACGGUACCAAACGAGAAAGCCCCGGCUAACUACGUG
RNAcentral lists this ribosomal RNA (494 nucleotides) under uncultured bacterium. RNAcentral's name for it is "partial 16S ribosomal RNA". It matches the Rfam family "Bacterial small subunit ribosomal RNA", at positions 28 to 507 of the family's 1533-position model. The record is from RNAcentral.